UACUGUUUCCAUUGUUGAUCUUUACACUAUCUAGCUAGAUCCAGUUCGCAUUAAAAGUAAAUCUAUAAAACUGUCUUGAAGCUAAAAUGAUUCUUACUAUUUUUUCCUAACAAUGUCGAUUACAUCAACUCUAUUUUAUAGUAAACCGAGGUUUUGAUUUAACGGCUACGUAGUAGCACCUCAUUACAUUAGUCUGAUCCUAAUGGUGUGAUCUAUUGUGGAUAUGGAUCGCACUUUUCGUACAUUUUCCUUUACCUACUUUCCAAAUAUUUUUUUUUAGAGAUGCUCUGCUUUUGUCGUCUACACUUUGGGAAGAGUUCUACAUUUUUUUAAAAAGGACAGUUGUUGUCCAGAAAAAAAAGAAAGGAAAAAGACAUUUGAACAGCUGUUUGAACAGACUGUGAAUGUUGUGUGGGCUUUCGACUGGCCCAAGUUAUUGUACUCAGCUGAACUAUUUCGUAAGACGACAUCAUUUCGGUCUUUGGUUACUGAUGAACCUGAAUUUCUGUCGUUUAGCAAAGCCUUUGUAGCUGUUGAAGGAUUUGAUUUGAUACUUCCACUCAAACUUGGUGUAUGAGACAACGCAACUCAAAGAGCUGAAAGCAAAGGGCAGAGCCUUCAAGAAGAUGUCAGCCAUCUGAAGUUCUUGAAACCAGAGUAAAGGUAUUGGUUUCUUCAUAGUUAUCCAUCUCUUCAUGCAUUGCGUUUGUCCAUCCUUCAUGUUUAUGUGCUUUGGAUACAGUAACAAGUUCAUGAUGCGAGACUAUUAACUUGAAGAACAUACUGUUGAAAGUAAGCUUGAAGAAAGCUUAUGGAGUAAGCUAUUCUAAAGAUAUUUGGAAUGUGAAAGAAAUAGGAAAUAUGUUUGUUUAGGAGUUAUCUAAAUAAGUUAAACUAAUGAGAUUAGGAAGUUGAUAUUCCUAUAUAAGGAGAUGCCAAGGUGUGGCAUAACUUAUGGUUUAGAGAUUGAGAGACCAUCUUGUGAGAGCUUAAGUUUUUGAGAGAGUUUUCUUAA
This 1015-nucleotide long non-coding RNA is filed under the name Brassica napus (rape). RNAcentral describes it as "long non-coding RNA (BNAP_LNC008751)". The record is from RNAcentral. Lineage: Eukaryota; Viridiplantae; Streptophyta; Magnoliopsida; Brassicales; Brassicaceae.